GACGAACGCUGGCGGCGUGCCUAAUACAUGCAAGUAGAACGCUGAAGGAGGAGCUUGCUUCUCCGGAUGAGUUGCGAACGGGUGAGUAACGCGUAGGUAACCUGCCUGGUAGCGGGGGAUAACUAUUGGAAACGAUAGCUAAUACCGCAUAAGAGUAGAUGUUGCAUGACAUUUGCUUAAAAGGUGCAAUUGCAUCACUACCAGAUGGACCUGCGUUGUAUUAGCUAGUUGGUGGGGUAACGGCUCACCAAGGCGACGAUACAUAGCCGACCUGAGAGGGUGAUCGGCCACACUGGGACUGAGACACGGCCCAGACUCCUACGGGAGGCAGCAGUAGGGAAUCUUCGGCAAUGGACGGAAGGCUGACCUAGCAACGCCGCGUGAGUGAAGAAGGUUUUCGGAUCGUAAAGCUCUGUUGUAAGAGAAGAACGAGUGUGAGAGUGGAAAGUUCACACUGUGACGGUAUCUUACCAGAAAGGGACGGCUAACUACGUG
This 495-nucleotide ribosomal RNA is filed under the name uncultured bacterium. RNAcentral's name for it is "partial 16S ribosomal RNA". It matches the Rfam family "Bacterial small subunit ribosomal RNA", at positions 28 to 507 of the family's 1533-position model. The record is from RNAcentral.